UGAAAAUGCUUUUGAGAUAUGAAUGUGGUAUUUAACCUCUUUCAACUUACUUUUGUAAAUACCUUUUACAGAUACUUUCCAUUCCAAGUCACGUAGUUGACCCACCAAGUGUUGGCUCUGAUUCGUACACCUCGUUCCAGUGACUGGUUGCACUGCUUUGCUAUUGCCGUGGGUGUGAGCAUCUCGGUUAGGUGUGCAGGUAGGCACCUCACCUGUAGAUAACCGACCCGUCGUGCGCAGAGUGUAACGCUUCUCCGAGUGAUGCUGGGUGUCAGAGUGCCUCGUGUAGCCUGCUGUAGCUCCGUGCCGUGCUGUGUGUCCUGCAGCUCGUGACUCGCUUUUGAGAUGUGUUGCGUAGUGAAUGUGGAACAUAGACCAGUGUAACCUUAGCUCUUGGUGGCGUAGAAGUUUUUAGGUGUGAUUUGCUCACGUACCGAUCUGUAUUUGGCAGCUAAUAAUAACGUGAAUGACCACGAAUUCUCUUUGUCUGGGCUGGAAAACAAAAGGUUUUGUCGUAUCCGCAUGUAUUUUAAACUUUUGGAUAAUUCCACCCAACUGUGAUGACAGCAC
This 570-nucleotide long non-coding RNA is filed under the name Gallus gallus (chicken). RNAcentral describes it as "long non-coding RNA NONGGAT002774". The record is from RNAcentral. Lineage: Eukaryota; Metazoa; Chordata; Aves; Galliformes; Phasianidae.